CCUACGGAGGCAGCAGUAAGGAAUAUUGGACAAUGGGCGAAAGCCUGAUCCAGCCAUGCCGCGUGAAGGAUUAAGGUCCUCUGGAUUGUAAACUUCUUUUAUGUGGGACGAAAAAAGGGCAUUCUUGCUCACUUGACGGUACCAUUUGAAUAAGCACCGGCUAACUCCGUGCCAGCAGCCGCGGUAAUACGGAGGGUGCAAGCGUUAUCCGGAUUCACUGGGUUUAAAGGGUGCGUAGGCGGGUAGGUAAGUCAGUGGUGAAAUCUCGAAGCUUAACUUCGAAACUGCCAUUGAUACUAUCUAUCUUGAAUAUUGUGGAGGUUUGCGGAAUAUGUCAUGUAGCGGUGAAAUGCUUAGAUAUGACAUAGAACACCGAUUGCGAAGGCAGCAGGCUACACAUAUAUUGACGCUGAGGCACGAAAGCGUGGGGAUCAAACAGGAUUAGAUACCCUGGUAGUCCACGCCCUAAACGAUGAUUACUCGACAUACGCGAUACACUGUGUGUGUCUGAGCGAAAGCAUUAAGUAAAUCCACCUUGGGAAGUACGUUCCGCAAGGANGAAACUCAAAGGAAUUGACGG
This 580-nucleotide ribosomal RNA is filed under the name uncultured bacterium. RNAcentral describes it as "bacterial SSU rRNA". It matches the Rfam family "Bacterial small subunit ribosomal RNA", at positions 338 to 916 of the family's 1533-position model. The record is from RNAcentral.